This 239-nucleotide ribosomal RNA is filed under the name uncultured bacterium. RNAcentral describes it as "partial 16S ribosomal RNA". It matches the Rfam family "Bacterial small subunit ribosomal RNA", at positions 796 to 1041 of the family's 1533-position model. The record is from RNAcentral.
CACGCCGUAAACGAUGAAUGCCAGUCGUCGGUGCGCAUGCGUAUCGGUGACACACCUAACGGAUUAAGCAUUCCGCCUGGGGAGUACGGUCGCAAGAGUGAAACUUAAAGGAAUUGACGGGGGCCCGCACAAGCAGUGGAGCAUGUGGUUUAAUUCGACGCUACGCGAAGAACCUUACCAGGACUUGACAUGGAAUUUAAAACUCUAGAGAUAGAGCCAUAACAAGUUCACACAGGUGG